Molecule: long non-coding RNA, 699 nt
Organism: Gossypium arboreum
Lineage: Eukaryota; Viridiplantae; Streptophyta; Magnoliopsida; Malvales; Malvaceae
Exons: 4
Source: RefSeq, a predicted model, not a curated record
AAAGCUAUCAUUUUUUUUUCCAUUCUUUCUUCUUCAACCGUGGGAAAGAACCGAAAAUGGCAGCCAUGGAUGAGCUCCAUUCGGCCAAGCUUCUAUGGCUUAUAUAGAUCAAGAAAACAUGAAAUGUUGGAUUAAGAUCAGGGAAGAACAGAGUUGUGUGCUAAGUCAGAAAAGUUAGCCGUUUCAGCAUUUGAGAUCAAGAAAGGCGUGGAAUCGACCUCGAACGGGGGAAGGAAAAAGUUUUGGACUAAAUUGCAAAAUUCCCAUAUUUUGCACCGAGUGUCAUCCAGCUAGCACAGGAGUUAGAGAUCGUAGAAGAUCUGCCCGCACUAUCAAUACUCUGGGUAUCUGAAUUCAACAUUUUGAAAUAUGGCAUGUAUAGCAGAAUUAGUUAUUUUGUUAUGUGUCAUAAUUGUCUAGGUUUAAAUUACUACUUAUAGUAUCAAACUAAUCAUUUUGGACGAAGCCUUUGAAACUGGUUUGUAUUGUUAAUGGCAUAUGUUAUAAUGAUUCAUGAUCAAAUUGCACGCCAUAUUUUUGUUGGGUUUUAUUUAAUAGUAUAUACUAUAAUUUGUUAAUACCUCGUACCCUGUUCCGGCGACGGACACGGGUAAGGGGUGUUACAAUAUGUAAGUAAUACAUCAAUUUUACUUGUAUUAUGAUAUUUUAUAAUAAUAUUGGAAAUAUGUUUGUUGAUAA